UGAAGCAUUGUAGUGAAGAGUAUGUGCAUGAAGAUUACUUACCUCUUUUCCUUGAUUCCCUUUGCUUACCAUGGCUAGGAUUUGUUUUCCUCAAGAGAGAUCAUGCAUAUUAUUGUUAAGACUUUUUCCAGCUUUUGGUGUGACUUGCCCUUACCUUGAAGUACUUUAUUCAGGCUUUUGCACUUUAGAUCUUGCUUGGAAAGGUCACCAACCUAUUUUUGAUGUAACUUUUUGAUAUUUCAGUUGGUCACCUAUCCAAGUGGCUAGUAGCCUUGUUCUUAGUCUUUUGACCAUUGGAACAGUUUUUGAAUUUGUGCUUUUGAGGGCUUUGCCUUUGCUGAAUUUUCUUUCUCUCAAUGACUUGGGCAAAUCAACA
Molecule: long non-coding RNA, 376 nt
Filed under: Manihot esculenta (cassava)
Lineage: Eukaryota; Viridiplantae; Streptophyta; Magnoliopsida; Malpighiales; Euphorbiaceae
Description: long non-coding RNA (MESC_LNC005072)
Source: RNAcentral